RNAcentral lists this ribosomal RNA (253 nucleotides) under uncultured bacterium. RNAcentral describes it as "partial 16S ribosomal RNA". It matches the Rfam family "Bacterial small subunit ribosomal RNA", at positions 524 to 776 of the family's 1533-position model. The record is from RNAcentral.
GACAGAGGGGGCAAGCGUUGCUCGGAAUUACUGGGCGUAAAGGGCGCGUAGGCGGGAUGGCAAGUCGGUCGUGAAAUCCCACGGCUCAACCGUGGAACUGCUUGGUAUACUGGUUUUCUUGAGCCACUUAGGGGCUGUCGGAACAAGCGGUGGAGCGGUGAAAUGCGUAGAUAUCGCUUGGAACGCCAAAGGUGAAAACAGACAGCUGGGAGUGUGCUGACGCUGAGACACGAAAGCCAGGGGAGCGAACGGG